UGGGGAAUAUUGGACAAUGGGCGCAAGCCUGAUCCAGCCAUGCCGCGUGUGUGAAGAAGGUCUUCGGAUUGUAAAGCACUUUAAGUUGUGAAGAAGGAUGGAAGUAACGACUUCAUCUUGACAUUAGCAACAGAAUAAGCACCGGCUAACUUCGUGCCAGCAGCCGCGGUAAUACGAAGGGUGCAAGCGUUAAUCGGAAUAACUGGGCGUAAAGCGCGCGUAGGUGGUUAAUCAAGUUGGAUGUGAAAUCCCCGGGCUCAACCUGGGAACUGCAUCCAAAACUGAUUGACUAGAGUAUGGUAGAGGUUAGUGGAAUUUCCUGUGUAGCGGUGAAAUGCGUAGAUAUAGGAAGGAACACCAGUGGCGAAGGCGACUAACUGGACUGAUACUGACACUGAGGUGCGAAAGCGUGGGUAGCAAACA
RNAcentral lists this ribosomal RNA (423 nucleotides) under uncultured bacterium. Its description in RNAcentral is "bacterial SSU rRNA". It matches the Rfam family "Bacterial small subunit ribosomal RNA", at positions 355 to 774 of the family's 1533-position model. The record is from RNAcentral.